This 165-nucleotide unclassified non-coding RNA is filed under the name uncultured Hypoxylon. Its description in RNAcentral is "sequence contains ITS2". Lineage: Eukaryota; Fungi; Ascomycota; Sordariomycetes; Xylariales; Xylariaceae. The record is from RNAcentral.
CAACCCUUAAGCCUCAGUUGCUUAGCGUUGGGACUCUACGACUUAUUAUAGCGUAGUUCCUUAAAGUUAGUGGCGGAGUUAUAGCACACUCUAAGCGUAGUAAUUCUCUCUCGCUUCUUGUAGUGGUUAUAAUUGCUAGCCAUAAAACACCCCCUAUUUUAAUGG